RNAcentral lists this long non-coding RNA (320 nucleotides) under Rattus norvegicus (Norway rat). RNAcentral's name for it is "long non-coding RNA NONRATT002399". Lineage: Eukaryota; Metazoa; Chordata; Mammalia; Rodentia; Muridae. The record is from RNAcentral.
CAACAGCACAAACCCGAGCCCUCAAGGCAGCCACUCGGCUAUCGGCUUGACGGGCCUGAACCCCAGCGCAGGGUAAGUGUGCAGCUGCCAGUGGGAGGUCUCAGCAGCUUUCAGCGUGGGGAGAUGCACCUCAGUCCUGCCGUGGGCUCCUCCCCCGGCCCCUCUCCGCUAACGCCUCUGCUUUGCUCUUGCAGAAGCACAAUGGUGGGGUUGAGCUCGGGGCUGAGCCCAGCCCUCAUGGGCAACAACCCUUUGGCCACUAUCCAAGGUGCGUGCUGCCUCAUGUCACCCCAUUGCCACCAGUCCUGCCCUCUCCUGGG